GUCUACGGCCAUGCUACCCUGAACAAGCCUGAUCCUGUGUGCUCUCAGAAGCAAAGGGUCAGGCCUGAUUAAUACUUGGAUGGGAGACCACCUAGGAAGACCAGGUACUGUAUGCA
Molecule: ribosomal RNA, 116 nt
Filed under: Pteropus alecto (black flying fox)
Lineage: Eukaryota; Metazoa; Chordata; Mammalia; Chiroptera; Pteropodidae
Source: RNAcentral